RNAcentral lists this small RNA (126 nucleotides) under Marmota monax (woodchuck). The record is from RNAcentral. Lineage: Eukaryota; Metazoa; Chordata; Mammalia; Rodentia; Sciuridae.
GCUGGGCACAGUGUCCCACGCCUGUAAUUCCAGCAGCUGAGGAGGCUGAGGCAGGAGGAUCACUAGUUCAAGGCCAACUUCAGCAAAAAGCAAGGCGCUAAACAAAUCGGUGAGACCCUGUCUCUA